AAACAUCACAGCUGGACGCCAGGAC
Molecule: non-coding RNA, 25 nt
Filed under: Cricetulus griseus (Chinese hamster)
Lineage: Eukaryota; Metazoa; Chordata; Mammalia; Rodentia; Cricetidae
Source: RNAcentral